This 441-nucleotide long non-coding RNA is filed under the name Nannospalax galili (Upper Galilee mountains blind mole rat). Its description in RNAcentral is "lncRNA (ENSNGAG00000024597.1)". Lineage: Eukaryota; Metazoa; Chordata; Mammalia; Rodentia; Spalacidae. The record is from RNAcentral.
GGCGGCUACUGAGAGCGUGCGUGCGCGUGUCCCCCUCACUCCACGCACUGCCCGCACCGCGCGUGCGCACGCACGUCCCCACGCUCGUGGGUGAAGGCCAGUCACCCACGCAGUGGCCUGCAGUCUCUCAAGCCAGAUGCCCUCCCGUCUCCCCCGGGGGGAGCCAGCUGUCCUUCCUGCGAGGUCAUCUCACGUGGGCACAAAACUGCCCGGUUUCCACCGUCACCUCGGCUGUGGUGACAGCACCGAUCCGUGGGACACGGCCGCCGGCGUGUGCAGUGUCUGGUGUCUCAGCAGGCUGCUGUCCAUCUAUCUGUCACGUGGGUGUCUGCCCGGUCGCUGCGGGUCUCCGGGUCGUGUCUGUCUGCGUUGUCUGUGAGUCUGUCUGAGCCUGCCGGUGGAGUGUGUCUGUCUCCCCCUCCCGCGCCCCCGCCGCCUCCC